GACGAACGCUGGCGGCGUGCUUAACACAUGCCAGUCGAACGGAAAGGCCCUGCUUUUGUGGGGUGCUCGAGUGGCGAACGGGUGAGUAACACGUGAGUAACCUGCCCUUGACUUUGGGAUAACUUCAGGAAACUGGGGCUAAUACCGGAUAGGAGCUCCUGCUGCAUGGUGGGGGUUGGAAAGUUUCGGCGGUUGGGGAUGGACUCGCGGCUUAUCAGCUUGUUGGUGGGGUAGUGGCUUACCAAGGCUUUGACGGGUAGCCGGCCGGAGAGGGUGACCGGCCACAUUGGGACUGAGAUACGGCCCAGACUCCUACGGGAGGCAGCAGUGGGGAAUAUUGCACAAUGGGCGGAAGCCUGAUGCAGCAACGCCGCGUGCGGGAUGACGGCCUUCGGGUUGUAAACCGCUUUCGCCUGUGACGAAGCGUGAGUGACGGUAAUGGGUAAAGAAGCACCGGCUAACUACG
RNAcentral lists this ribosomal RNA (466 nucleotides) under uncultured bacterium. RNAcentral's name for it is "partial 16S ribosomal RNA". It matches the Rfam family "Bacterial small subunit ribosomal RNA", at positions 28 to 505 of the family's 1533-position model. The record is from RNAcentral.